AGUGAACGCUGGCGGUAGGCCUAACACAUGCAAGUCGAACGGCAGCACAGUAAGAGCUUGCUCUUACGGGUGGCGAGUGGCGGACGGGUGAGGAAUACAUCGGAAUCUACUUUUUCGUGGGGGAUAACGUAGGGAAACUUACGCUAAUACCGCAUACGACCUACGGGUGAAAGCAGGGGAUCUUCGGACCUUGCGCGAUUGAAUGAGCCGAUGUCGGAUUAGCUAGUUGGCGGGGUAAAGGCCCACCAAGGCGACGAUCCGUAGCUGGUCUGAGGGGAUGAUCAGCCACACUGGAACUGAGACACGGUCCAGACUCCUACGGGAGGCAGCAGUGGGGAAUAUUGGACAAUGGGCGCAAGCCUGAUCCAGCCAUACCGCGCGGGUGAAGAAGGCCUUCGGGUUGUAAAGCCCUUUUGUUGGGAAAGAAAAGCAGCAGGUUAAUACCCCGCUGUUCUGACGGUACCCAAAGAAUAAGCACCGGCUAACUUCGUG
Molecule: ribosomal RNA, 492 nt
Filed under: uncultured bacterium
Lineage: Bacteria
Description: partial 16S ribosomal RNA
Rfam family: Bacterial small subunit ribosomal RNA
Source: RNAcentral